GUUAUCGCGGAAUAACAUCACGGCUGUGAUUUGGUCGCAGGCAGGAGCCGAAGGCAAACUAACUGUUAAUAUUGUACAAGUACGCGCUGAUUCACGCCCUUUUCCGUUUCAGUGAAGUUAGAUGAAAGCAGAAAAAGGCUAUAAUCGCUGUUUUGUAAAAAGAACCGAGAGAGGAUUAGAGAGGACUAAUUUACAGAGGCUUGCCGGUGGUGUCCAAGGUGUUCAAAGAAUGUACUGGGGACACCUUAAAAUAUGCUACACACAGGGGAUCAAGGGUGGAGAAUACAGAGACGCUUUAAUGGACUUCUCGACUUUUUUCAUUUUUUGUUCAUUCACUUGAAUUGAUUUAUAAUAUUAGUAAUAAUAAUAAAAAUUUAUUAAGUCGA
Molecule: long non-coding RNA, 386 nt
Organism: Colossoma macropomum (tambaqui)
Lineage: Eukaryota; Metazoa; Chordata; Actinopteri; Characiformes; Serrasalmidae
Exons: 3
Source: RefSeq, a predicted model, not a curated record